AGUAUCCAUUUUGGCUAAAGCUCCCCUUCAACCUUCCCGCCCCUUCUGCUGCAGACAUGCCGGCGGCGCCCGCCGAACCGUUCGAGGGCCGGAUCCCCGGCU
RNAcentral lists this non-coding RNA (102 nucleotides) under Alexandrium minutum. The record is from RNAcentral. Lineage: Eukaryota; Dinophyceae; Gonyaulacales; Pyrocystaceae.